RNAcentral lists this long non-coding RNA (3695 nucleotides) under Homo sapiens (human). RNAcentral's name for it is "HSALNT0095513". The record is from RNAcentral. Lineage: Eukaryota; Metazoa; Chordata; Mammalia; Primates; Hominidae.
GCGGUCCUUUAUUAUCAGUUGGCUGCCAGCCAGGGCCACAGCCUGGCUCAGUACCGCUAUGCCAGGUGCCUACUACGAGACCCAGCCUCUUCGUGGAACCCUGAGCGGCAGAGGGCAGUGUCCUUGCUGAAGCAGGCUGCAGACUCAGGCUUGAGAGAGGCCCAAGCUUUCCUCGGGGUGCUUUUCACCAAGGAGCCCUACCUGGAUGAGCAGAGAGCUGUGAAAUAUCUUUGGCUUGCAGCCAACAAUGGGGUAUGCGAUCUCAGUGGACAAGCAUGUUGGGGAUGAAGCCUGAUAAGAGAAGGGAUUUUGGAACUGGUACUGAGUUCUUCUGUGCUUAGGAGAUUGUUGGAUAGGAGCCUUGGCCUGGCUUCAAGCCUUAGCGCUCACUGACUUACUGUGUGACCGUUGGGCAGUUGCAGUAGUACGCCAGAGCUGGCUUGCACCAGGCUGUGAGAGCUGUUGGCAGCUUAAAAUCUGCUAUGGUGGGAAUAUUUGCACCACAGAAAUUGCUAAAUGCCAUAAAACAGGGCUUUUUCCCUCCUCGAGAGCCAGUUGUUCAACAUUUACCAGCACACUACUGGGCCUGGUCACUUCUUGAUUCAAACCUGUUUCCUCGUCUUUAAAAUCAGAAUAAUAAUGCUUGCCUUACCUGUCCAGUACUUCACAGGGUGGUUGUGAGGAUCAAAAUCUAACUGAGAUAACUAACAGGUGUGACAGUGCUGUGAAACCUGUACACAUGAAAAACACAUCAUUACAAGUGAUGGUAACCCAGGGAAAUUAGAAGACGCAUCAAGUGGAGACAGUAAACAGGGAACACUGCUCAGUUUGGGGUGGGUGGGGAUGUCUGGUUGUCUGUGAACUGGGGUCAUUGGCAUUCAGACAAUUCAGAUGUGUUCCAUGAAGCAUUAGUUCUCUGGGAUGCUUGUAAGUCAUAAGAGGAAAAAAAUGGUUAGAUGGGUUUGGGAAAUACUGAGUUAAACAGUUAAUAUAGGAAGUCUCAAAGCUUUAUGUCACUGUAGAUCACUGAAAAGGCCAUCUGUAAUUUGCUGUAUUCCUCAAGUGUAUUUGACCAGUAUAUCUUUUGAGUUGCAUCUUGAAGGACCAGGAGUCUUGGAUUAAAUCAAGCAAUAUAUGCGUGAACUGUAAUCUCCCUACAUAGGGGACUGCUGCUUCCUUUGUUUUCUGGCCAAUACACUGAUAGCUUCGUUGAACUCCUGGGCAUCAGAAUGCUUUUCCUUGUCUACUCUGUGUUGCCCAGAGUAUCUGUAGUAGCUGUCAAAAGGGGACCAAUGUCACCAACAGGUAUCCACUGCUGUACCUGCCUUGCCUUGAAAGAGCCCCACAGAGCCUUCCAAAGUUGGGCAGGUCUGCACAUCCAUGUGCAGGGCAAGACUGGGCAUGCUGGCCUGCUUUAAUCAGACCAGCGUGCUAGCAGGAGAAAUGUACAAAAGGAUAUCUGUCACCUGCUAUAUGACGCUGUAUUGGGACUCAGACCCAACACACUUCCACCCCACAGGGAAUUGUGUCUUUCUGGGUUUGUACUGAGCAGUGUUGCAGGGGUGGUGUUUUGGCCUUACGUGUGUCCACUGCUGUGUUGUAACGUGGUCUGUAGGCAUGAGUCUGUCAUGUUUGUUGGAGAGACUUUUGGCCUGUGUGUUAUAGAAGCAGGGGGAGAAUGUGUAGACAACUCUUCCCAGAAGUUUGACUGUGGAGGGUAGAAGAGAAAUUGGACCAUGGUUGAGAGUCAAUAGUGUUUUGUUUUGUUUUUUUAAUUGGGAGAGUGAAUAUGAUUCAUGUAGUGAAUGUAAGCACUUUUCAUAUAGUGUAUUUAAUCCUUGCAACAACCUAAUAAGGUAGGUGCUAUUAGCAUCCCACUUUAUAGGUAAGAAAACUGAGGCACCAUGAGGUAGAGUCACGUGCCUGAGUUAACACAGCUGGUAAGUGGUAGAGCCGUGAUGGGAGUGCAGACAGUCUGGCUAUGCAGCUGGACACCCAGCCUCUACCUGAUCCUGUUCCUCCCAGGAGCAUAGUUCUCAGAGAGAGGAGAGACAAUCGAGGAUCCAGAGCUGGGGCAAAGAGCAUAGCGUUUUUUGUUUUGUUUUGUUUUGUUUUUUUGAGACGGAGUCUCACACUGUCGCCCUGGCUGGAGUGCAGUGGCGCGAUCUCAGCGCACUGCAACCUCCGCCUCCCGGGUUCACAUGAUUCUCCUGCCUCAGCCUUCUGAGUAGUUAGGGUUACAGGUGCACACCACCACACCUGCCUAAUUUUUUUUGUAUUUUUAGAGACGGGGUUUCACUAUGUUGGGCAGACUGGUCUCCAACUCAUGACCUCGUGAUCUGCCCACCUUGCCCUCCCAAAGUGCUGGGAUUACAGGUGUGAGCCACCGCGCCCAGGCCAAGCAUAGCUUUUUAAAGGAGAAGAGUUUCCUUUUCUGUCAGCCCUCCCAGGCAGAGAUUCAGGAAGGCACAGGGCCUUUGGGAAGACAACCCUCCACCUUCGCCUCCUUGCUGUUUCAGGGCAACAUAGGAGCCCGACUCCCAGGUUUGCUAUAACUGGCCUGAGUGUUUCCUGUAGCCUUCGUUGUGCAUGCUUUCAGCCAGCCUAUGCAAGAGAAGCCUCCACACUGCCCUGGCUGGAAUCUCCCUGGGUGGAGGGAUCCCCCUCUCCUUUGUGUUGGGACUCACAGAGCAGGUACCACCUUGGAAUUUGCUAUGAGAAAGGCCUUGGUGUGCAGAGGAAUCUGGGAGAGGCCUUGAGAUGUUACCAGCAGUCAGCCGCUCUGGGAAAUGAGGCCGCCCAGGAGAGGCUGCGAGCCCUCUUUUCCAUGGGGGCUGCAGCCCCGGGGCCCAGCGACCUGACAGUUACAGGACUGAAGUCUUUCUCCAGCCCCUCCCUCUGCAGCUUGAACACCCUGCUAGCAGGAACCUCACGCCUACCACAUGCCUCGAGCACAGGCAACCUUGGCCUCCUCUGCAGAAGUGGGCAUCUCGGAGCCAGCCUGGAAGCCUCCAGCAGGGCUAUUCCCCCACACCCCUACCCACUGGAAAGGAGUGUUGUAAGACUAGGUUUUGGCUAAGGAAGAAGUUUCUUGCCCAAAUGCCUGGAUGUGUCUGCUUGACUUUCAGAACUUCUCACCUCAGCCCUAAAGAGGGAGCCUGUGGGUUCUCAGAGAGAUAUCACAAUUUGAGUCCCAAAGAAGAGGCCAGAUACCCACCCACCUUCCCCCAAAUCUUAAGCACCUGCGCCAGUACAGUCAAGAAGAGGAAAGUGUGUGAAGACCCAGGUCUGGCUCUGCCACUUGCCUGGCCAUGUCACCUUGAAGCUGUGACCUGACUCCCUAUAUUGUUUCCUCAGUUGUAGACCAAAGGCAAUGGUGUCUGCCCUCCUACCUUAGAAGACAAAUGCAAGGGCAUUUCACCACAGAGAGGACCUUUGUGCUCACUUUGGCCCAGGAGGCAGUGAUGCUCAUGGUUGCAUGACUUUAUGAGUCGCUGGGCCAGGGUGAGGACCUGGGCCUCCUGACUCCUGGCCCAGAGUUCUUGUCCAUCAGUUCAUACUGCAAUUUUAUGUGAAAGCAUUAUGACUGUCCUACCCAUGGGAGAGUAAAUGUAGAUUGAAUGCUAGGAGUCUUAAAGCUGGAGAGUAUAGAUUUUGAGGUCCCCAUUUGGGAAACAUGUGCCAGAAAUGUCUAG